UCGGCAUAUUGUUUGCGCUCAUUUUUGUACAGAAGCAUCACUGGUAAUGCCUUAUUGAAGUAAGAACAUAAACCUUUUGUAAUUUCUCCAACUGCUUCAGAUAUCCUAAAUCCACCAAAUCACAGAACAUCAGCAACACAUAUCUUCAAGUAUGUGAAUUCAAGGAUAUUUUUCUUAUUAUUCUUCCAGACAAUCAAAAUAAUCAGAAAAUUUAGCUGUUUCAACUCAAGGCCAGGCCGACUUUUUAAGCUAUUAUAUAAAGUUAAUAGGAAAUUUAACAGAAGGAAACCUUAUUUCUUAAAAAGAAAAAAGUAAUAAUGGUGAUAGAAAGGAUGGGGAAACAUUUGUAUCUGAUCAGUCCAAAAGUUGGUGUCUGCCAAAAUUCUAUAACUCAAAAUUAGCAACCAAGAAGGAAAAUAUUAAAAGUUAAUACAAGGGCCGGGUAAGAACUUA
This 453-nucleotide unclassified non-coding RNA is filed under the name Hevea brasiliensis (rubber tree). Lineage: Eukaryota; Viridiplantae; Streptophyta; Magnoliopsida; Malpighiales; Euphorbiaceae. The record is from RNAcentral.